This 2887-nucleotide ribosomal RNA is filed under the name Vibrio parahaemolyticus VP-NY4. RNAcentral describes it as "bacterial LSU rRNA". It matches the Rfam family "Bacterial large subunit ribosomal RNA". The record is from RNAcentral. Lineage: Bacteria; Pseudomonadati; Pseudomonadota; Gammaproteobacteria; Vibrionales; Vibrionaceae.
UAAGUGACUAAGCGUACACGGUGGAUGCCUUGGCAGUCAGAGGCGAUGAAAGACGUAGUAACUUGCGAUAAGCCCAGAUUAGGUAGUAACAACCAUUUGAGUCUGGGAUUUCUGAAUGGGGAAACCCACGUGCAUAAGCACGUAUCCUUACCUGAAUACAUAGGGUAAGGAGGCGAACCGGGGGAACUGAAACAUCUAAGUACCCCGAGGAAAAGAAAUCAACCGAGAUUCCGAAAGUAGCGGCGAGCGAAAUUGGACUAGCCCUUAAGCUUUACACGCGUUAGACGAACGGUCUGGAAAGUCCGACGAUACAGGGUGAUAGUCCCGUAGUUGACGACGUGUGUUCAGUGAAAUCGAGUAGGGCGGGACACGUGAUAUCCUGUCUGAAUAUGGGGGGACCAUCCUCCAAGGCUAAAUACUACUGACUGACCGAUAGUGAACCAGUACCGUGAGGGAAAGGCGAAAAGAACCCCUGUGAGGGGAGUGAAAUAGAACCUGAAACCGUGUACGUACAAGCAGUAGGAGCAGGCUUUGUCCUGUGACUGCGUACCUUUUGUAUAAUGGGUCAGCGACUUAUAUUCAGUGGCAAGGUUAACCAUCUAGGGGAGCCGUAGGGAAACCGAGUCUUAACUGGGCGUUCAGUCUCUGGAUAUAGACCCGAAACCAGGUGAUCUAGCCAUGGGCAGGUUGAAGGUUGAGUAACAUCAACUGGAGGACCGAACCGACUAAUGUUGAAAAAUUAGCGGAUGACUUGUGGCUAGGGGUGAAAGGCCAAUCAAACCUGGAGAUAGCUGGUUCUCCCCGAAAGCUAUUUAGGUAGCGCCUCGGACGAAUACUACUGGGGGUAGAGCACUGUUAAGGCUAGGGGGUCAUCCCGACUUACCAACCCUUUGCAAACUCCGAAUACCAGUAAGUACUAUCCGGGAGACACACGGCGGGUGCUAACGUCCGUCGUGGAGAGGGAAACAACCCAGACCGCCAGCUAAGGUCCCAAAUUACUACUAAGUGGGAAACGAUGUGGGAAGGCUCAGACAGCCAGGAUGUUGGCUUAGAAGCAGCCAUCAUUUAAAGAAAGCGUAAUAGCUCACUGGUCGAGUCGGCCUGCGCGGAAGAUGUAACGGGGCUAAGUAGUAAACCGAAGCUGCGGCAAUGUGCUUUUGCACAUUGGGUAGGGGAGCGUUCUGUAAGCGGUUGAAGGUGUGUGGUAACGCAUGCUGGACGUAUCAGAAGUGCGAAUGCUGACAUGAGUAACGAUAAAGGGGGUGAAAAACCUCCUCGCCGGAAGACCAAGGGUUCCUGUCCAACGUUAAUCGGGGCAGGGUAAGUCGACCCCUAAGGCGAGGCCGAAAGGCGUAGUCGAUGGGAAACGGGUUAAUAUUCCCGUACUUCUUACAAUUGCGAUGGGGGGACGGAGAAGGCUAGGUGGGCCUGGCGACGGUUGUCCAGGUUCAAGUGCGUAGGCUUGAGAGUUAGGUAAAUCCGGCUCUUUUUAAGGCUGAGACACGACGUCGAGCAUCUACGGAUGUGAAGUCAUUGAUGCCAUGCUUCCAGGAAAAGCCUCUAAGCUUCAGAUUGUAAGGAAUCGUACCCCAAACCGACACAGGUGGUCGGGUAGAGAAUACCAAGGCGCUUGAGAGAACUCGGGUGAAGGAACUAGGCAAAAUGGUACCGUAACUUCGGGAGAAGGUACGCUCUCGACGGUGAAGUCCCUCGCGGAUGGAGCUAUUGAGAGUCGCAGAUACCAGGUGGCUGCAACUGUUUAUUAAAAACACAGCACUGUGCAAAAUCGUAAGAUGACGUAUACGGUGUGACGCCUGCCCGGUGCCGGAAGGUUAAUUGAUGGGGUUAGACUUCGGUCGAAGCUCUUGAUCGAAGCCCCGGUAAACGGCGGCCGUAACUAUAACGGUCCUAAGGUAGCGAAAUUCCUUGUCGGGUAAGUUCCGACCUGCACGAAUGGCGUAAUGAUGGCCACGCUGUCUCCACCCGAGACUCAGUGAAAUUGAAAUCGCUGUGAAGAUGCAGUGUACCCGCGGCUAGACGGAAAGACCCCGUGAACCUUUACUACAGCUUGGCACUGAACAUUGACCCUACAUGUGUAGGAUAGGUGGGAGGCUUUGAAGCACGUACGCCAGUAUGUGUGGAGCCGUCCUUGAAAUACCACCCUUGUAGUGUUGAUGUUCUAACGUCGACCCCUUAUCGGGGUUGCGGACAGUGCCUGGUGGGUAGUUUGACUGGGGCGGUCUCCUCCCAAAGAGUAACGGAGGAGCACGAAGGUGGGCUAAUCACGGUUGGACAUCGUGAGGUUAGUGCAAUGGCAUAAGCCCGCUUGACUGCGAGAAUGACAAUUCGAGCAGGUGCGAAAGCAGGUCAUAGUGAUCCGGUGGUUCUGAAUGGAAGGGCCAUCGCUCAACGGAUAAAAGGUACUCCGGGGAUAACAGGCUGAUACCGCCCAAGAGUUCAUAUCGACGGCGGUGUUUGGCACCUCGAUGUCGGCUCAUCACAUCCUGGGGCUGAAGUCGGUCCCAAGGGUAUGGCUGUUCGCCAUUUAAAGUGGUACGCGAGCUGGGUUUAGAACGUCGUGAGACAGUUCGGUCCCUAUCUGCCGUGGGCGUUGGAAGAUUGAAGGGGGCUGCUCCUAGUACGAGAGGACCGGAGUGGACGAACCUCUGGUGUUCGGGUUGUGUCGCCAGACGCAUUGCCCGGUAGCUAAGUUCGGAAUCGAUAACCGCUGAAAGCAUCUAAGCGGGAAGCGAGCCCUGAGAUGAGUCUUCCCUGAUACUUUAAGUAUCCUAAAGGGUUGUCGGAGACUACGACGUUGAUAGGUCAGGUGUGUAAGUGCUGUGAGGCAUUGAGCUAACUGAUACUAAUUGCCCGUGAGGCUUAACCA